This 29-nucleotide non-coding RNA is filed under the name Homo sapiens (human). Lineage: Eukaryota; Metazoa; Chordata; Mammalia; Primates; Hominidae. The record is from RNAcentral.
UAGUUUUGCCAUCCAUAGGCAGCUGUGUU